RNAcentral lists this unclassified non-coding RNA (392 nucleotides) under soil metagenome. RNAcentral describes it as "partial contains 5.8S ribosomal RNA, internal transcribed spacer 2, and large subunit ribosomal RNA". The stretch from base 1 to 122 matches the Rfam family "5.8S ribosomal RNA", at positions 35 to 154 of the family's 154-position model. The record is from RNAcentral.
GAUGAAGAACGUAGCGAAAUGCGAUACUUGGUGUGAAUUGCAGAAUCCCGUGAACCAUCGAGUCUUUGAACGCAAGUUGCGCCCGAAGCCAUCAGGUUGAGGGCACGUCUGCCUGGGCGUCACAUAUCGUUGCUCGAUGCCUAUCGCAUUGCGAUAGGACUUAGGGCGAAUGAUGGCUUCCCGUGAGCGUUGUUGCCUUGCGGUUGGUUGAAUAUCGAGUCCUUGGUAGGGUGUGCCAUGAUAGAUGGUGGUCGAGUUAGCACGUGACCGAUCAUGUGCAUGCUCCCCAAAAUAUGGCCUCUGUGACCCACACGCGUCUUUUGACGCUCAUGACGAGACCUCAGGUCAGGCGGGGCUACCCGCUGAAUUUAAGCAUAUCAAUAAGCGGAGGA